UACAGAGGUCGCAAGCGUUGUUCGGAUUCACUGGGCGUAAAGGGCGCGUAGGUGGUCAGGCAAGUCGGAUGUGAAAUCUCCGAGCUCAACUCGGAAACUGCAUUGGAAACUACUUGGCUCGAGGGUUGGAGGGGGGACUGGAAUGCUUGGUGUAGCAGUGAAAUGCGUAGAUAUCAAGCGGAACACCAGUGGCGAAGGCGAGUCCCUGGACAACUCCUGACACUGAUGCACGAAAGCUAGGGGAGCAAACAGG
This 253-nucleotide ribosomal RNA is filed under the name uncultured bacterium. Its description in RNAcentral is "partial 16S ribosomal RNA". It matches the Rfam family "Bacterial small subunit ribosomal RNA", at positions 524 to 776 of the family's 1533-position model. The record is from RNAcentral.